CCUACGGGGGGCAGCAGUGAGGAAUAUUGGUCAAUGGACGAGAGUCUGAACCAGCCAAGUAGCGUGAAGGAUGACUGCCCUAUGGGUUGUAAACUUCUUUUAUAUGGGAAUAAAAUGUUCCACGUGUGGGAUUUUGUAUGUACCAUAUGAAUAAGGAUCGGCUAACUCCGUGCCAGCAGCCGCGGUAAUACGGAGGAUCCGAGGGUUAUCCGGAUUUAUUGGGUUUAAAGGGAGCGUAGGUGGAUUGUUAAGUCAGUUGUGAAAGUUUGCGGCUCAACCGUAAAAUUGCAGUUGAAACUGGCAGUCUUGAGUACAGUAGAGGUGGGCGGAAUUCGUGGUGUAGCGGUGAAAUGCUUAGAUAUCACGAAGAACUCCGAUUGCGAAGGCAGUUCACUGGACUGCAACUGACACUGAGGCUCGAAAGUGUGGGUAUCAAACAGGAUUAGAUACCCGAGUAGUC
This 460-nucleotide ribosomal RNA is filed under the name uncultured bacterium. RNAcentral describes it as "partial 16S ribosomal RNA". It matches the Rfam family "Bacterial small subunit ribosomal RNA", at positions 338 to 795 of the family's 1533-position model. The record is from RNAcentral.